Molecule: ribosomal RNA, 253 nt
Filed under: uncultured bacterium
Lineage: Bacteria
Description: partial 16S ribosomal RNA
Rfam family: Bacterial small subunit ribosomal RNA
Source: RNAcentral
UACGGGGGGGGCAGGCGUUGUUCGGAAUUACUGGGCGUAAAGGGCUCGUAGGCGGCCAACUAAGUCGGACGUGAAAUCCCCAGGCUCAACCUGGGAACUGCGUCUGAUACUGGAUGGCUUGAAUCCGGGAGAGGGAUGCAGAAUUCCAGGUGUAGCGGUGAAAUGCGUAGAUAUCUGGAGGAAUACCGGUGGCGAAGGCGGCAUCCUGGACCGGCAUUGACGCUGAGGAGCGAAAGCCAGGGGAGCAAACGGG